This 212-nucleotide unclassified non-coding RNA is filed under the name Hevea brasiliensis (rubber tree). Lineage: Eukaryota; Viridiplantae; Streptophyta; Magnoliopsida; Malpighiales; Euphorbiaceae. The record is from RNAcentral.
GGAGAUAGAAGAAUGUCCUUGGAAGGAUGGAUUGUGCUUAGAUAGCUGAAAUAGAACUCAAUGAUUCUAUCGUUCAGAUAAUAUGGACCGCUAAGGAUGUCCAAGUCGGAUUUUCGGAGUACGACAUCGUUGUAACUUAAGAUUUUCUCAUCUCCUUCAGACUUCCCCAUUUUAGAUCGGGUAUCAGUCCUGAGAGACCUACGAAGAUUUCU